Molecule: long non-coding RNA, 569 nt
Organism: Aegilops tauschii subsp. strangulata
Lineage: Eukaryota; Viridiplantae; Streptophyta; Magnoliopsida; Poales; Poaceae
Source: RefSeq, a predicted model, not a curated record
UAUAAUGGAUCUGCUAGAGUUGCUCUGUAGUACGUGAGAAGAGAUUAGCAGUAGAUAUUUCAUCGACCAUCUCAUAUUCUUUCUCACGAGGACCGGCGGGCGGCGCUAAGCCUUAAUCUGUUUCCGCCGCGCAGCAAGAAUUCGUGAGUGACGCUAGUGGUUUCUUCUCCGUGCCACAGGUGUUUGAGUCGUCCUCCUUUCUAUGGAAGAAGAAGCAUCAUGCCUAAGUUAAAGACGAGCGGUGUCGUAGUACCCGGAUGGCAAACUCAUUGGCCGCCAGGAGUCUCAUCAGAGUCCAUGUACUGUUGAGAUGUCAAUGGUAAAUAAUGCGGUUGUCAUGGAUUAUCUCUCUCUGAACAUGGAUUGUAAAGUGGGAGAAUUUGCUUAUUGUGUUGAUGUAAGUUACAGCCCGACUUAGUCCAAGUCUAUGAUUGUUGAUUUGUUGUAGAAGCAAAUCAGCUGUCAUUUUCCUUCAUCACUUUACUUGAUAUAUGUCGCCUCAUUCCUCCUUCUGAUAUAUAAUUAAAGCGUCACGGUCUUGCCUGUUCUUAGAUUAUUAUUAACUUGCA